This 253-nucleotide ribosomal RNA is filed under the name uncultured bacterium. Its description in RNAcentral is "partial 16S ribosomal RNA". It matches the Rfam family "Bacterial small subunit ribosomal RNA", at positions 524 to 776 of the family's 1533-position model. The record is from RNAcentral.
UACGUAGGGGGCAAGCGUUGUCCGGAAUCAUUGGGCGUAAAGGGCGCGUAGGCGGCUCAUGAAGGCUGUGGUGAAAGUCCGGGGCUCAACCUCGGAUCGGCCGUGGCGACUCGUGGGCUGGAGCACUGUAGAGGCGGGUGGAAUUCCGGGUGUAGCGGUGGAAUGCGUAGAGAUCCGGAAGAACACCAGUGGCGAAGGCGGCCCGCUGGGCAGUGGCUGACGCUGAGGCGCGACAGCGUGGGGAGCAAACAGG